RNAcentral lists this ribosomal RNA (403 nucleotides) under bacterium. RNAcentral describes it as "partial 16S ribosomal RNA". It matches the Rfam family "Bacterial small subunit ribosomal RNA", at positions 355 to 776 of the family's 1533-position model. The record is from RNAcentral.
UGGGGAAUAUUGCACAAUGGGGGGAACUCUGAUGCAGCGACGCCGCGUGAACGAAGAAGGCUUUCGAGUCGUAAAGUUCUUUUAUAUGGGAAGAUAAUGACGGUACCAUAAGAAGAAGCCCCGGCUAACUACGUGCCAGCAGCCGCGGUAAUACGUAGGGGGCUAGCGUUGUCCGGAAUCACUGGGCGUAAAGGGUUCGCAGGCGGAAAUGCAAGUCAGGUGUAAAAGGCAGUAGCUUAACUACUGUAAGCAUUUGAAACUGCAUAUCUUGAGAAGAGUAGAGGUAAGUGGAAUUUUUAGUGUAGCGGUGAAAUGCGUAGAUAUUAAAAAGAAUACCGGUGGCGAAGGCGACUUACUGGGCUCAUUCUGACGCUGAGGAACGAAAGCGUGGGUAGCAAACAGG